CAGCUAUCCAUGUAAUUAGAAGAAAUUUUCUGGGAACUUAAAUACAGCAGUGAAUAGAUGAUGCUCCUAAAAGACAAUCCGAUUGCUCAUUUAGAUAAUGUUGCAGGGAAGAAAUCUCAAACCUUAUCAUGUAACGCACCACUGUUAUCACAGAAGUAGGUCUUAGCCUGAUCUUGCUCACUUCCCCAUGUGAGUUAAUAUUCUGCUGAUCAGAGCUUCCUUUUUCCCAGAAACAGGAAGAUUGUGCGCUGUCAAGUAGAGCUUCAACUCCGCCACUGUCAAGUCCUUCAACUGUCCAUUGUCAGCAAGGUCAGCCCAGUCAUAAUUUGCAGACUCAUUGGCAGCAUUUUCAGCAGCUGCUUUCCUUUUUUUGGAGGCCUCAUUUGCUUUUCCAUUGCCCACAGAGUUGCUUUCCUCAUCAUACUUGUCUCCAUAAACAGAAAGCUUAAACUCUUCUAUUGCCUUAACAACUCCUAGCCUAGCCAUGCCUUCCUCAUCAGGAAGUGUUUCAUCUAUGGUGUCUGGUAUCUCUUCUUCUUCUAGAGCAAGUGCCUGCAACAUUGCGUAGUGUCUCUGAAGAGCCGGGUUAGCAAAUUGGCAUACUGAAAAAUCUUUCAAGUAAAUACGUUUAAUUAAAUCAGCAGCCUUUUUAAUGUGGUCAUCAGUUGCACGGGGUACCCUCACAUUUGACUCUGAAUGAAACUCUUCAAUAAGUCUGACAUCAUCAGUAUAUGGAAGAUAUAUCAUGUGCAUUCCUGGUGGCUCAACCUGACCACCAGCACUAAUAAUCUCAUCUUGUGCAACAAGGGCAACCAAUCGGGGAUGAAAGGAGCUGCCACAAUAUGCAACAGCAAAACGAU
RNAcentral lists this unclassified non-coding RNA (860 nucleotides) under Hevea brasiliensis (rubber tree). The record is from RNAcentral. Lineage: Eukaryota; Viridiplantae; Streptophyta; Magnoliopsida; Malpighiales; Euphorbiaceae.